UUGAGCUUAGUUUAAUUGGGAAAACUAUGGUCUUCAAAUCAUAAUAGAGGUUCGAAUCUUCUAGCUCAUGCCA
RNAcentral lists this transfer RNA (73 nucleotides) under Gilliamella sp. Nev3-1. RNAcentral's name for it is "tRNA-OTHER". It matches the Rfam family "tRNA". From Rfam's summary of the family: Transfer RNA (tRNA) molecules are approximately 80 nucleotides in length. Their secondary structure includes four short double-helical elements and three loops (D, anti-codon, and T loops). Further hydrogen bonds mediate the characteristic L-shaped molecular structure. tRNAs have two regions of fundamental functional importance: the anti-codon, which is responsible for specific mRNA codon recognition, and the 3' end, to which the tRNAs corresponding amino acid is attached (by aminoacyl-tRNA synthetases). tRNAs cope with the degeneracy of the genetic code in two manners: having more than one tRNA (with a specific anti-codon) for a particular amino acid; and 'wobble' base-pairing, i.e. permitting non-standard base-pairing at the 3rd anti-codon position. RNAcentral also lists the same sequence under 1 other name. Lineage: Bacteria; Pseudomonadati; Pseudomonadota; Gammaproteobacteria; Orbales; Orbaceae. The record is from RNAcentral.